AAAUUCAAUGGCUGCAGUAACCAUGACUGUACGAACGUAGCAUAAUAAUUCGCCACUUAAUUAGUGGAUAGUAUGAAUGGUUGAACGAAAAUUCCACUGUCUUGUAUAAUAACAAAGAAAUUUAAAUCAUAGUUAAGAUGCUAUGUAAAGUUGUAAGACGAAAAGACCCUAUAAAGCUUAACUAUAAUUCUUUACAAAAAUUUUUGAAAAUAAAAAAAUAUAAAGAACUGGUAGUUUCAUUGGGGCGAUGGUCUCUAAAAAAAAACAGAGAUAAUUCUAUAAAUAAAAUAUUUUACUGUUUAAUCAAUAAAUUUAACAGUUACAAAGUAGGAUAUAAUGACCCAUUAUCUUUACUAAAAAAAAAUAAUGAUCUAUAAAUAAAAGCUACUUUAGGGAUAACAGGAUAAUAUUUUCUUAGAGCCCUUAUCGAAGAAAAAGUUUAUCACCUCGAUGUUGAAUUAAGAUAACCUA
This 471-nucleotide ribosomal RNA is filed under the name Aglaophenia latirostris. RNAcentral describes it as "partial 16S ribosomal RNA". It matches the Rfam family "Bacterial large subunit ribosomal RNA", at positions 1920 to 2549 of the family's 2925-position model. Lineage: Eukaryota; Metazoa; Cnidaria; Hydrozoa; Leptothecata; Aglaopheniidae. The record is from RNAcentral.